Molecule: long non-coding RNA, 2890 nt
Organism: Gadus macrocephalus (Pacific cod)
Lineage: Eukaryota; Metazoa; Chordata; Actinopteri; Gadiformes; Gadidae
Exons: 4
Source: RefSeq, a predicted model, not a curated record
GUCUGUAGCCCUGAUAUGGUCUGUACCCCUGAACAGCCAGCUCCGGCCGACAGUCCGCACUCGACUUCGCCGCCUCAGACUGUAUGGGUUGUAGCUGCUGCGGUUAUGGGCCAAUCACACUGUGCAAGAUAGAAGAUCAGCUUGCUGUGAUUGGUGUGUGUUCCCCACUAUAGACUCCACCCCCCUCCCCACACUCUUACUGUUUUGAUGUGUGCCAGGGCACAGUCGCACAGGAAGUCCUGACAGAUAGGGUGUGUGAUGCCUUUAGAUUGACACAACAUGUUCAUACUCAUGUUCGUUGUACUUGUACAAUGACAAUAAAGCUUUCUAUUCUAUUCUACUCCUGAUGUUUGCGGCAGAAGCUAACAACUUGAGAAGAACACAAUGAUAGUCUGGGAGAUGUUCCUUAUUCCAUUCUCCAUGGCAGUGACAGCCAUGUCAUCGAUUUGUACACCCCAGUUUCUGGAUGAACCCCCAGGCCAGAUUAAGGUUCUUCGUGGUUCCUCCCUGACUCUGAACUGCAGCGGUACAUCAUGUCAGGGAGAAACCAAGAGUAACAGAGUAAAGGUGAACUGGCGCUUCUCCGCCAAUGAUUCAGAAAGAUCCAACGAAGGGAGAACCUUUACAUGCAACAAUGGACCCUCUGAGGAAAAGAUGUGGUGCAAUUACACAAUAAUAAAUGUCCAAGACAAGGACAGUGGAUGGUACUAUUGUGAAGUCACAUUAGACCGACCUAUAUUAAUGCAAAUCUAUUCCAAUGGAACACUCAUUGUUGUCGGUAAGUGGUAACUUAAAAGUACAUAUACAAUGCAAUUAAUAAAUUAUAUGCAAGUGUCUGCAAUAUCUUUAAUUUUGUCCAAACAAGAAGUAUGACAUUAUAAUUCCCCCUAAAUAACAACAGGGAACGAGAUUGAAGUGACUGCAAACCCAGGUGAAGUGAGGGACUGCAAACGUGUGUGUGUGUGUGUGUGUGUGUGUGUGUGUGUGUGUGUGUGUGUGUGUCUGUGUCUGUGUGUGUCUGUGUCUGUGUGUGUCUGUGUGUUCGUGUGUGUGCGGGGUUGUGUGUACCUGCGUAACUUUCGGCAUGGUUUGUAUGGAACUCAAUGGAAUUACACAUUCAGGUUAUUUUGUUUGCACUGACGAUACUCAAAAUUCUAAAAAGAUAUUCACAGUUUUAUUUAUGAAAUGAAUUCCCAAACACGAAUAUAUUGUGAAUAUAUAGAUAUAGAUAUAUCGUUGACCUAUUUAUUAUCUGCUCCACAGGAACUAAAACCCCAGGUUUUAUAGAUGUGAUCGGGAACAAGACGUUCCUCAUCGUCUCUGGAGUGUCCGCGCUCCUCCUCAUCGUGCUGGUGGUGAUGAUCUGUGUUGUUCAGAGAAGAAGGCGAAGGCACAAAGUGAUGACCUGCCCAAUUUAUGGCAACACCCGUCCACCACCGGCGACCAGCAGGCAGCAAACCAGCAAACCAGACCCUCUGGUGGCCAGCGGAGUCCCCCCAAAGGCCUAAACACCCGUGUUGAGAUGUCUCUUAGCAAGACACCUCACCCUAACUACUUCCGACGAGUUGGCUGUCACCUUGUACGGUUGCAUGACAUCGAUUUGAAUGUAUGAAUGAAUGGUUGAAAAAAAGAAUAUAUAUAUAUAUAUAUAUAUAUAUAUAUAUAUAUAUAUAUAUAUAUAUAGCAUUAUUCUCUAACCUCGUGGACAUAGUGUAUUUAAUAGCUUAUAUGUGUUUAUAAAGGACCAAAUGUUGGUAUAGUGUUUAUUUAACAUUUAAUGUUUAUUUCGCAUUUACAAUAUCUGAUUAAUAUUUUUGGUGCAAUAUUUCUCCCUUACUCAAUUUGGCUGUAGUUGAAAUAGGCCUUGGAUAAUUGUUAUGUGGUGUUCGGAUUUCUUUUUUUUGCGCAUGUAUUUGGAUAAACCUUCAAACAGAGCUUAGGAAUGUAUCAUUUGCAUUGAUUUACUCUUUUCAGUGUCUCACUGUGUGCUAGAUAUAAUUAAAUGUCAACUACUUUGGAAAAAAUGUGUAAAAGUCCAUUACAGACAUGAUCAGAUGAUAACUGAGAGUCUGUAGCCCUGAGCAGGUCUGUACCCCUGAAGGUCUACCCCUGAAAGUCUGUACCCCUGAGAAGUAGUAUGUGCCCCUGAGAAGGUCUUUACCGCUGAGGGUCUGACUGUAGCCCUGCGCAGGUCUGUAGGCCUACUACACAGUACCUUAGGGCUGGGUACCGAUACCAAUAGAGUGCUUCAUUCUAUACUUAAUUCUUUCUACUACAUUCGAUACCCAUUAGGUGAGGGAAGGAAUCAGUUGCUUUGGGUGACACGCGUGGCGUCUCGGCACCCUGAACAGCCAGCUCCGGCCGACACUCCGCGCUCGACUUCGACGCCACAGAUUGUAUGGGUUGUGGCUGCUGCGGUUAUGGGCCAAUCACACUGCGCAAGAUAGAACAUCACCUUGCGGUGAUUGGCUGCGAGAAAAAUCAUACAAAUACAAAUUUAAAAAGCAUUGAAUGCAUUUUGUCCAGCCUUCGCGGUAUCGUAAUUUGUGGUCUUUGAAACCGUGUAACGUUUUUAAGGUCUAAUGUCUAUCUUCGAUCCAAAGACUGAGACUAAUCCAGGUAAGAUGAUCAGAAUAAAUAUCGAGGAUAUCCCGUUCACUGAGGCAGUCAGGAAAUUACUGGCGGAGAACUUGCAGGAGCAGGCGGAAGAGAGGGCACAGAAGGAGAAGGAACAGCAGGAAGGAAGAGAAGGGACAGCAGGAAAAUAAGGGACAGCAGGAGAAGAAAGGCACAGGAGAAGAAGGAGCAGAGAAGGCAGCUGGAGAAGACAAUGUGAACAAUGUGAUUUUAAAUGCCACCCUGGCCUACAUUAAAGUUGAACUUGAUGACA